This 4878-nucleotide long non-coding RNA is filed under the name Sus scrofa (pig). Its description in RNAcentral is "lncRNA (ENSSSCG00065046149.1)". The record is from RNAcentral. Lineage: Eukaryota; Metazoa; Chordata; Mammalia; Artiodactyla; Suidae.
GUUGUUGUUGCUAUUUCUUGGGCCGCUCCCGCGGCACAUGGAGGUUCCCAGGCUAGGGGUUGAAUCGGAGCUGUAGCCACCGGCCUACGCCAGAGCCACAGCAACGCGGGAUCCGAGCCGCGUCUGCAACCUACACCACAGCUCACGGCAAUGCCGGAUCGUUAACCCACUGAGCAAGGGCAGGGACCGAACACGCAACCUCAUGGUUCCUAGUCGGAUUCGUUAACCACUGCGCCACGACGGAACUCCCUGCAUACCUCAGCUGUUUGCCAACUAUCUUGUUCUUUUCAGGCUACAGAGCACAGGGAGCCCUGAGCAGCAAAGAUGCUGCCUUGCUCCAUUCCCGGGGCAGACAUCCCUGACAGCAUCUUGACAGGAUGCCAAGAGACUUAUCAAGGCUCUUCACAGCCUUAAACAGCAGACCCUUCACCUGCUUCCUUGGGCCCAGAUCAGCUCACUAACAGGUAGCCACAGCUGAGGACAUGAACCCUGCUGGGUCAGCAUCUCCUGAGCACGUGUUGAGAGGCAUUUGUAAGCCUCUACAUCUAUAGUGAGGUGGUGCUUUCAGAACUUACUAGACCAUACGGUUGUGGGUCUUCUGAAAUUUGAGUGAGUACAUAGCUGAGUGCUCAAACAUUGACAUAUCAUCAACUUCCAGGAAAAAACUCUGGGAUGCCUUGUUGCUGAAUGAUCAUGAUAAGGUGUGAAGGUUGAUCAGAAUGCCAAUUGGGAACAACAUGGAUUCUUUAACUGUAUCACACCCCUUCUUAUCCGGUUCGUCCAAUCAAUUCUGUUAGCUACCUUUUGUUUGCUAGUUCGAUUUUCCUGCUGACACAGUAUGUCACUGUUACAGAUCAGCAUUGCUUCCUGAUACAGAAGGGUUCUUGGGCACAUAGCCUAUUUCUAGGUCUCCGCUAUGGCAUCAAGAAGCUGCAGACCGCAUUGCGUGUUCCUGUCCCUAAGAGACAGUGACUCUGAGCUUCCCGAACCUGAGUCCAGCUGGAACCCUGCUGCUCACUGUCUCCGGAACGUGGUUAGUAUCGUGCUUGCUCUGCAGCCCACUAUCCAAGUGGUCUCACGUUCUCUGGGUUCUUUGAGUUUUCUGAGCAUCAACAGAUUGAAAUAUAUUCUGCUGCUAUGAGACUUUCCUAUUGGUCAUAGAAAGGUAACCCUGUUCUCACGGUGUAACUUUAUGUGGCCCUUUGUCCUACUAGACUGUAAAGCCAUCAGUUCAAGCAUGAUUUCUCCAAGAUGUAUUUGAGCAGAGAGUCAAAUGAUAAAGGAUGUAAUAACACCUCAGGAGAAAGAAAUCUUCCAAACUGAAGAAGCUGGAAUACUGAGGGGGCGGAAGAGCAAGGGUUCAGGAUUGGGUUCCUGAGAGCGAGUUACAGCCUUCCUUCUCUAGAUACUAAAACCAUUAGCACCUGGGAGCCACAUAAAUACUUCAGUGCCUGACAAUUUAACACUUUUGAGCUCUUUUUGAUUUGUCCGCUUCCUUAGUUUUCAUAACCAUCUUACACUUUAAGUACUGUUACCCCAAUUUUCCAGGCAAGGAGUCACUGAAGAACUGAGGUUAAGUUGUUUCAGAGGAGACACAGGUAGUAAGCAGUAGAAACCUGCAUGAAAUCCAGGUGGUCUGACAUCAGAAUCCGUUUUUAACCAAUACACCAUAUUGCAUCACUGUGGAACUGAAAUGUUCAUUUGCCUGAUUAAACUGAUUGUAGUAUGGAAUCAGAGUCUAAAGCCAUUAUUAUCAAGCAGGCAUUUUGAUGGACUGACGCUAAGCAGCAUUGCUAAGAAACUUUUUUAAAACAUCUGCUGCCCACAGGGGACUAUAGAAUGAGACACCUAUUCUGAAAAAUAUAGUAUUUUUGUUAUUUGUUUUUUAAAUCUCCAUUAAACACAUAGAUCAAUAUGCAUCCCUUGAGAAGGGGCCAGUGAGGUAUGGAGCAGGGUCAGAAGUGUCUUUCCUAAUACUGUUGCCUUCAGUAGAAAAGUUAAAUCCUUACACAGAAACAGUGAGAUUAAGCUGCCCUGCUCCCACUGGUCAAGCAGUAGAGGCAAGUAGGAACAAGGUUCUUAAGGCUAGAACACCGGGAGUUUUGGGGACUCCAAAAACUAGAGGCUGUUAGAGUUCCAGUUUAGGAAAUGUAACUGCAAGGUUUUAAAGAACCUGGAUCAGUACAAAAAUUGUCUUUGAGGGAAAAGACAAGGAACUGUUUUGGAUUAGUGGGAAGGUGAUUGCUUGAAGAGGGAGUUUAUAAGAGGAAUGGAGUUUUAUGGCUAGUUAUUUGACAAGAUUGAUUUUUCAAACCUGCACGAGCUGCUGGUCACUGGAGAAGAGAUAUUACACAUUUUGCUGACAGAGAAACAAGUGUUAAGUAACUGCAGACAGAAGGAAAAGUCCCACACUGACUUCGUAUCAACUUCGCUUAACACACAUGCCUCUUUUCUGGCUAUUGAGGCCAACUCCUCUAUGAGAGGAUGGAGCAAACAGUUAAUUAGAAUUCUGCUUAUGGGACUGGGAAGGUAAGAGCUUGCAUCCUAACUUCUGUGCAGUGAGUCCAGAUUUUCUUCUACUCCAAAGGAUUGCUUCCUACUUAGACCUACUCCAAGAUAAUUCCUGAGACCAACAUAGGACCUUCAAACCCUGGAGAAGCCCCACAUGGGAGCUUGGAACUUUCAGUGAUAAAGCACGGAAAUAUGAGCAAGCUGACGAUACGGUUACCCGUCAUGGCCUUUAUUAGGUGGAAGUUACCCCUGCUCUGACCUGGAAAGUUUCUACAAGACCAGAGAGCAAGAGUUUAGGACUGUUGGAAAGCCUCCAAGUUGAGCCCAGCUCAGGAGGUAUCAUGUAAUCGAAAACAAGCAGCUCCCAGGUGAUCUGAAUCUUUAGCUGGAAAAGCAGUUAUUCAGGCAAAAGAAUCUGGUGAAUAGCAUUGAAUCAUCAAUUCCUUUAGGACAUAAGGCCUAAAAUAAGCCCAUAGCAAUCCUGGGAGCAGCAAACUCUCCACUGUGAUUAAUGUUUUGACUACUAGAUACAUGUGAAGGUACACGUUAGGUUGAGAAGCAACUCCUGCUCGCAGCACUGUUGCAUUUAAGGGCAUCCUUUGAUCCAGGCCUUGACCACCCAACCCCCACACAAGAGGGCAGGUGCCAACUUAACCACACUAAUUGGGGUUGGUGGUGGAUGCUGGGCUGGCUACCCCAUGAUAUCUUUAAGAAUUCUUUAAGAGACAACAGGAAACAGGGUGCUCAGAUAUUCUGCUUUACCUCACAAUGGCUCAAGACAGGGAUAAAAGUCAAUUUCUUCUACAUGGAUGAAGAUAAGCUUGUUCAAGGAAGCCUGCCAUGGGUUAGCCUUAUUAGCACUUAAUGGACAACAUCCGUGAGCUUCAGACUUAAAAACAUCUUAGCCCUCAGAAAUUAACAACUCGUGCACUAAGGAAAACGUUGAAUGCCCUUUAAGGCAUAAACAAGUGAUUCCCGUAGAAAUUCUAGAGCAUAUAAGGUUUCAUUUAUCAACGGGGUCUUGAUGCAUUUCAUGGUCUCUCCUGUAUUGGGAUUAUUUCAUUCUGAGGACAGAAGCAGUUGAAGGAGCAAAACUUCUAGGAUCAACACCACCAAUCCUAUGACUGAUCCAAUUUAUUCCUCCAGCCUUCACGCAUUACAGGGAUCUGGUUGCUAAAACCAAUUAUGAGGUUAAUGAGAGUCAACUGCCAGCUGAGGAUCAGCAAACCCUACUAGAAAAUACCUUCUGAAAUCAAACUCUUUGAAUUCAAAGAUCUGUAGUUUGGACAUGAAAUAUGGAAGGGACGUCUUGGGUCUGGGUUCCCAUAAGCAAGCCAGUUUUGCCAUGUCAGCCAAGGUUAGCAUGGUUGAGUCUAGUCUAAAAGCCUAGGGGCAUUAAAAAAAAAAAAAACACUUCAGAUAUAGUUAAGGAAUUUCAAAGCGUAAUAGGUAGGGGACCAAGGAGCAUAUUGGAGGAACCAUGUGCUUCUAGGAAAACAAAAGCACCAGGUCAGGAGCUGGAAAGAACAGGAGAGGCAAAGAGGUAAACAGCAGAACAAAAGGACCUUAUAGAUAGUACGGUCUAUUCCCAGUCAAAAUCUAUUCCCUAGCCUUGGGUCUUGCCUCCUCAGCUGGAGCAAGAGCAAAUCUAAGUGAACACCAGCAGGCCUCCCAGAUUUCAACCUUCCUGGGAAAGAUGCUCAUUACCAGAGGGUCGGAGAGAAUAAGGGAAGGCUAACUGGACCAACAGCUCUUGUGUCCUGAAAAGGCUUUGGUCCAAAGUGAAUCUCAGACAAGGCACAUUUCCCGGUCAUCAAGUGGACUAGACCCCCAGUCCUUCCUGGAAGGUCUGGAUGGCUGCCGGGCAGAAGGAAGCUCGAGAGUGAGCCUAGUGAAGGCACCGGGAAAAUGGUUUACACAGUAGUUUCCUUCUGUGUGAAUUGGGGUGAGUCAUGAGAGAAAGCAACCCGCGGUCUGCACUUAUCAGGAAUGGUAAGGCUAGUACAGAGAAAUUAGGCUAAAGUUAGAACCAAAGCUUGAGUCAACCAAAUGGCUCUUCUUUGCUGCCUUCCAUCGUAAGAAGGAAGAGCAUUACAAAUGCCCUUCUUAAUGUAAGCUGGGUUCGUGCUCAUCAGCCUGGCCCCUUAACUAGGAUCAUUCCCAGACCCAAGUCUUCAAAACCCUUCAAAAAGCUAAGGAAAGGAAGUACGGGUAGGAGGAAAAGAAAUCCACUGGAAGAGAUAGUAUCUAGUUUUGAUCAGCCUAAAGCAUUUUUUCCACCCAGUAUCAAAAUUUUUUUCCUUAGUCAAAGAAAACCCUGUCUUCCCCUCACACCCAAGCAGCAGAAAAAUUCGCUUAUUUCAAAGG